GGGCGAUGACGAUGAUUAUACCAUCAAACUUUGAAAGCUUUAUAUUGUAAGCUUGUUGAUGCUACCAAAAUCAUUACUCUCUGAGCCU
Small nucleolar RNA from Macadamia integrifolia, 88 nucleotides. RefSeq annotates it as small nucleolar RNA snoR116. The record is from RefSeq and is a predicted model, not a curated record. The transcript has a single exon. Lineage: Eukaryota; Viridiplantae; Streptophyta; Magnoliopsida; Proteales; Proteaceae.